This 461-nucleotide ribosomal RNA is filed under the name Pectobacterium atrosepticum. Its description in RNAcentral is "bacterial SSU rRNA". It matches the Rfam family "Bacterial small subunit ribosomal RNA", at positions 60 to 510 of the family's 1533-position model. Lineage: Bacteria; Pseudomonadati; Pseudomonadota; Gammaproteobacteria; Enterobacterales; Pectobacteriaceae. The record is from RNAcentral.
AGUCGAGCGGUAGCACAGAAGAGCUUGCUCUUUGGGUGACGAGCGGCGGACGGGUGAGUAAUGUCUGGGAAACUGCCUGAUGGAGGGGGAUAACUACUGGAAACGGUAGCUAAUACCGCAUAACGUCUUCGGACCAAAGAGGGGGACCUUCGGGCCUCUUGCCAUCAGAUGUGCCCAGAUGGGAUUAGCUAGUAGGCGGGGUAAUGGCCCACCUAGGCGACGAUCCCUAGCUGGUCUGAGAGGAUGACCAGCCACACUGGAACUGAGACACGGUCCAGACUCCUACGGGAGGCAGCAGUGGGGAAUAUUGCACAAUGGGCGCAAGCCUGAUGCAGCCAUGCCGCGUGUGUGAAGAAGGCCUUCGGGUUGUAAAGCACUUUCAGCGGGGAGGAAGGCAGUAAGGUUAAUAACCUUGCUGAUUGACGUUACCCGCAGAAGAAGCACCGGCUAACUCCGUGCCA